GUUUGUAUUGAUUCGACUUUCAAACUUGUAUACCAAAAUUAUGACCGGAACUCUGCAUGGUAGCUCUGGUUUGACUCAGGUUCAAGUUUCUGAUCCUGUUUCAGAAUUUCUAUUGUGAAUCAAAAACAGCCUUAGUGACCAGGAAGAGAGGAUGAUUAUCAGCUAAUUAUGAACUUGUAUUUCUUCUUAGAAGGACAUUAUUGAAACAAGAAUGAUGAAUUUGCACUGAUCUGAGUAGAUUCUCUUACCCUUAUGAACGAAGUGAUGAUGAUGAUGAUGACAAUGAUGAUAAUGACGACAAUGAUGAUAAUGGCCAUAAAUUACAUGGCACUGAUUACAUCUGCUGCGGUGCUACUAUGCUAAACACUCUAUCUAUAUUAUCCUUGUCAAUUAUUUAAAAGACAACCUUAUUUUUUAUCAUUAUGUGGUAUUUAUUUAUUAUCAUCAUUUUUUGUUCUGCAGAUAAGGACAUGGAGGCUCAGUGAGGUAAAAUCAUAAUUCUAAGUCACAAACCUAAUAAGUGGUAAAGCCAAGAUUUGAACUGGGAUCUGUGCUACUCAAAGAUCUAUGUGAUACUGUGUAUGCUGUAUUGUCUAUCCUGAGAACAGCUCAUUUCUCACAUGGGUUUCACAAAGUAAAGUUAACUAUCCAACAAAGGAAAUAAAUCACUAAUUUUGUUUCUAUAAAUUCUUUUAUAGAGGCUAGAGGAAUUGAGCUCCUUUUGGAAAAGUGGGCAAAGUUUUGGGGACUACUUCUAUGGGCAACGACAGAGGAAAUUUUUGGUAGAAAACAGAAUUUAGUGGGGAUUCCACUGUAAGUACAUUGAACCAUAUUUUCUUUCUGGUGAGGAGACAGAAAUGGGAGGGAAAGAAAAGGUAAAAUGUCCUUUUUCUCACAAUUGCCCUUCCACUGUUCAAACUGCAUCUUGGCUGCUACUGCCAUAAAGAAAAGAAGCCUCAGAAAGAAGUCAAAGGAAAGAAAGCAAGCUUAUUUCUGAGCUUUUGAGAGUCUAGGCCUAGCAUGAAUAAAAGUAAUUUAAGGAAAAUUUUGAGGGUAAUUGACAAUUCUCUGUUACUGGAAGAAAGAUGUUCCUCUAUAGAAAAAAACUGGGCUGAGUCCCCUAACAAAGGGAAAAAUGCAGAACAUUUUCGGAUGGUGAACAGGUAUCUUGGUAGUUACUUGCAGAAGGAUUAAAGGAGGAUGGGGAAGGAAUUGGCACAUAAUUCUCUUGAAAAAGAAGAGGGAAUUAUUUACUGUAGGCUUCCUCUGUGUCAAUAACUGUGCUUGGAGCUGUAUAUAAAUAGGUGUUAUCAUAUUUUCUGUUUUGUGCUUUUUUUUUUAAGAUAAAGAAACCAAGGAUCAGAAAGGUUUUAGAGACUUGACUUGUCAAGGUCACAAGGUGGAGCCAAGAUCUCAAUUCAUGUCUGCUAGAUUUAAAAGCCCUACCCCUUGAUUCUCAAACUGUACUCUGAGGCACCCAUGGGUGUUGUUGCAAUUAACAGGGACACUGUGAGUUACAUUAAAUGUUUGAGGGAAACAAAGCAAUAAUUGACAUUAGACAGACACUGUGCAAAUGGCUAGCUUGAGGUAGCUCUCAGUUACAACAUUAGAUCACACAUUCUUUUUGAUGAAAAUCCUUGGCCGGGCGCGGUGGCUCACGCCUGUAAUCCCAGCACUUUGGGAGGCCAAGGUGGGUGGAUUAUGAUGUCAGGAGAUCGAGACCAUCCUGGCCAACAUGGUGAAACCCCGUCUCUACUAAAAAUGCAAAAAUUAGCUGGCUGUGCUGGCACGUGCCUGUAAUCCCAGCUACUCAGGAGGCUGAGGCAGGAGAAUCGCUUGAACCAGGGAGUCGGAAGUUGCAGUGAGCUGAGAUCGCACCACUGCACUCCAGCCUGGCAACAGAGCGAGACUCCGUCUCAAAAGAAAAAGGAAAAAAAAAAAGAAAAAGAAAAUCCUUGUGAAGCUGGGUUUUUGGUGGUUGCUGUGAUAAAAAACCAAGUGGCAUUUGAAAAUCAAUGAUAAACAGAAAUUAAAAUUGUGGUGUCUACUAUGAUUCCUAGCUGUGAGAAGAUAGGUGGUGUUUAACAGGUGCAUGUAUGCCAUUAAUAUUUUGGCUUUGAUUUCUUAAGAAUAAGGUAAAAAUAUUAUUUUCUCCUUCAACUUAUGUGCAUUGAUUUUUUCAAAUGACCACAAAGUAGGGCAUAAAUAUUUACUAAGCUGUUUGGAUAUAACAACUUAAAUGAAACUCCUAGGUAUUUAUUUUGGUCUAGGAUCACGAUAACACCACUGAGACGCUGUCGGCAUUUAUAUACCAAGAGUGUAUUGAACACAUAGGUGAUGAAGUGUGGAUAGGUAUCAAUUAAUUAUUAAUUCAAAAAAACUCAGAAAUUGUCCUUGAUUUCAAUGAAUAUCUAAUUGAAUGGAGAGACAGACAUGUUACCAGAGUCAUUAUACUGGACUAUAUCAAUCAUUCAUUUAUUCAACAAAUAUUUAUUUUGCUCCUACUCUAUCCUAGGCACUGUGCUAGACUCAGGCAAUACAAGGAUGGACAAGAAAGAAAGCAUCCCUGCCUUCAUGAAACUCACAGUCUGAAGUCAAUAAACAAACAGCUGUUGCCACUUUACAGAAAGAAAAGUGUGGCUCAGACCAUAAUUUCAGGAAGAAGCAUGCAAUUUUUGGUAAUUCAAUGAAAUAUAAAGAUGAAUCAGAAGUCCGGUAUAGAAUGCAUCAUCCAUUGGUUCUGGAUUUAACAUACGAAAUCCGUAAAAGAACUGAAAUGUUCUGAAGCUUGAAUCUCUCUCAUGCAGUUAUUCUGUUGGAUGAAGUGGCAUUUCAAAUUUGCUCACUCAGAUUUGGGACAUUAGUCUCAUUCUGAAGCACACCAAUGCUUCCAGAACUACCAGCAUGCUGUAAUGAAAGGUACCACCAUGAGACUUGAAGAAGUAUCUGACUUUGUCCCAAAAUCUAUCUGAAUAAGAACAACGGACAAACAAAAAGAUAAGGAGAAGAAAGAGGAAACAAAAGCUAAAAGGUUCACCUUAACUUUCCCGGCAUUUUCGUCAUCUUCUUUUUUGUCUUCAAAUUCAAAGGCAACAGUCAUGCGUUGUUGUCUCUGCUCUUCCCACAGUGUAGGGUUAAAGCUGUCACUGUCUGACUGGAAAUCUACAGUUAGAUUCCAAAGUAUUAUUGCUUUUUUAAAAAACAAUUUUACACAAAGUAUUUAAUACAGUAUGCAAAAAUGGUGAUAGAUACUACAAACAAAUACAGAAAUGAAGAAGAAAGAAAUAAAGAAAAAAAGAAAGAGAAAGAAGGAAAGAGAAAAGAAUAAAAUUCCCUUGAUAUUUA
This is a long non-coding RNA of Gorilla gorilla gorilla (western lowland gorilla), 3345 nucleotides long. RefSeq lists it as uncharacterized. The transcript is spliced from 4 exons. NCBI's taxonomy places the organism in Eukaryota, Metazoa, Chordata, Mammalia, Primates, Hominidae. The record is from RefSeq and is a predicted model, not a curated record.